GGAGGAAGAGAAACCAACAGGGAUUCCCCGAGUAACGGCGAGCGAAAAAGGAACAGCCCAGCGCCGAAUCCCGCGCCCUUGAGGCGUCGGGAAAUGUGGCGUUCGGGAGUGAGCGUGCCGGCGGUCGGCCCCGCAGCAAGUCCCCCUGACCGGGGCUCUUUCCCAGAGCGGGUGCGAGGCCCAUAGCUGCGGGGACGCCGUCGGAUGCGAUCUCCUUGGAGUCGGGUAGCUUGGAAGUGCUGCCCCAAUCGGGUGGUAAACUCCACCUAAGGCUAAAUACGGCCGUGAGACCGAUAGCAAACAAGUACCGUGAGGGAAAGUUGCAAAGAACUUUGAAGAGAGAGUUCAAGAGUACGUGAAACUGCUCGGAGGCAAACGGGUGGACCCUCGAAGUCCUGUGGCGGGAGGAUUCAGUCGGGCCAGGCGGACGGCCGGCGGGGAGGCGACGAGAAGGUUCCCCGAAGCGGGACCGCUCCCCGCGGCCGCCUACGUGCGGCCCGACGCAUUUGUCUCCCGCCCGUGAGGACGCCGCAACCGGUUCGGAGUCAGCGGCCAUAAGGGCGAGGGACGGCAGGGGCCGGUGGUCCGCGCCUUGCGGCGCGGCCGUCGGUUGUUAGCCUCUUCGCCGGACGGCGCGCGGCCGGACCGUGGUGACGCGGGCCCGUAAAUGGGCCCAUUCGCCUCCUCUUCCUCCGGGAGACGCGGGAGGCCGGUGCCAGGGCGGCGCGGAGCUCCGCGGCCACACGGACUCACUCCGUGGGCCAGCGGAACCGCACGCUCGUUGGGCGCGGCCGAUCCCGUGCCGGGGUUGCUUGCGGUUGGCGGCGAGUAGGUCGGUCAUCCACCC
RNAcentral lists this ribosomal RNA (847 nucleotides) under Pararchaea sp. SP3. RNAcentral describes it as "eukaryotic LSU rRNA". The stretch from base 1 to 315 matches the Rfam family "Eukaryotic large subunit ribosomal RNA", at positions 52 to 358 of the family's 3401-position model. Lineage: Eukaryota; Metazoa; Arthropoda; Arachnida; Araneae; Pararchaeidae. The record is from RNAcentral.